Molecule: ribosomal RNA, 253 nt
Filed under: uncultured bacterium
Lineage: Bacteria
Description: partial 16S ribosomal RNA
Rfam family: Bacterial small subunit ribosomal RNA
Source: RNAcentral
UACGUAGGGGGCAAGCGUUGUCCGGAAUCAUUGGGCGUAAAGCGCGUGUAGGCGGCCCGGUAAGUCCGCUGUGAAAGUCGGGGGCUCAACCCUCGAAUGCCGGUGGAUACUGUCGGGCUAGAGUGCGGGAGAGGCGAGUGGAAUUCCUGGUGUAGCGGUGAAAUGCGCAGAUAUCAGGAAGAACACCCGUGGCUAAGGCGGCUCUCUGGGACGGUACUGACGCUGAGACGCGAAAGCGUGGGGAGCGAACAGG